GGAUGCGAUCUUACAAACACUAACACACCGGAUCCCAUCAGAACUCCGAAGCUAAGUGUGCUUGGGCGAGAGUAGUACUAGGAUGGGUGCCCCCGGGAAGUCCUCGUGUUGCAUCCC
Molecule: ribosomal RNA, 117 nt
Filed under: Capsicum annuum
Lineage: Eukaryota; Viridiplantae; Streptophyta; Magnoliopsida; Solanales; Solanaceae
Source: RNAcentral